This 467-nucleotide ribosomal RNA is filed under the name uncultured bacterium. RNAcentral describes it as "partial 16S ribosomal RNA". It matches the Rfam family "Bacterial small subunit ribosomal RNA", at positions 28 to 506 of the family's 1533-position model. The record is from RNAcentral.
GACGAACGCUGGCGGCGUGCUUAACACAUGCAAGUCGAACGGAAAGGCCCUGCUUUUGUGGGGUGCUCGAGUGGCGAACGGGUGAGUAACACGUGAGUAACCUGCCCUUGACUUUGGGAUAACUUCAGGAAACUGGGGCUAAUACCGGAUAGGAGCUCCUGCUGCAUGGUGGGGGUUGGAAAGUUUCGGCGGUUGGGGAUGGACUCGCGGCUUAUCAGCUUGUUGGUGGGGUAGUGGCUUACCAAGGCUUUGACGGGUAGCCGGCCUGAGAGGGUGACCGGACAAAUGGGGAGAGAGAAACGGCCCAGAUUCGAACGGGAGGAAGGGGGGGGGAAAAUUGAAAAAGGGGCGGAAGCCGGAGGCAGAAACGCCGGGGGGGGGAUAACGGCCUUGGGGUUGUAAACCGUUUUCGCCUGGAACGAAGGGGGGGGGAGGGAAAGGGGAAAAAAAACACGGGCAAAAAAGGU